Molecule: ribosomal RNA, 479 nt
Filed under: uncultured bacterium
Lineage: Bacteria
Description: partial 16S ribosomal RNA
Rfam family: Bacterial small subunit ribosomal RNA
Source: RNAcentral
GACGAACGCUGGCGGCGUGCUUAACACAUGCAAGUCGAACGCUGAAGCCCUUCGGGGUGGAUGAGUGGCGAACGGGUGAGUAACACGUGGGUAAUCUGCCCUGCACUCUGGGAUAAGCCUUGGAAACGGGGUCUAAUACCGGAUAGGACACAUCGCCGCAUGGUGUGUGUGGAAAGUUCCGGCGGUGCAGGUUGAGCCCGCGGCCUAUCAGCUUGUUGGUGGGGUGAUGGCCUACCAAGGCGACGACGGGUAGCCGGCCUGAGAGGGUGACCGGCCACACUGGGACUGAGACACGGCCCAGACUCCUACGGGAGGCAGCAGUGGGGAAUCUUGCGCAAUGGGCGAAAGCCUGACGCAGCAACGCCGCGUGGGGGAUGACGGCCUUCGGGUUGUAAACCUCUUUCGACCGGGACGAAGGAUUCGUUUGACGGUACCGGUAGAAGAAGCACCGGCUAACUACGUGCCAGCAGCCGCCGUAA